Molecule: ribosomal RNA, 604 nt
Filed under: uncultured bacterium
Lineage: Bacteria
Description: bacterial SSU rRNA
Rfam family: Bacterial small subunit ribosomal RNA
Source: RNAcentral
AACACGUAAAGAACCUGCCCUCAGGUCUGGGAUAACCACGAGAAAUCGGGGCUAAUACCGGAUGGGUCAUCGGACCGCAUGGUCCGAGGAUGAAAGGCGCUUCGGCGUCGCCUGGGGAUGGCUUUGCGGUGCAUUAGCUAGUUGGUGGGGUAAUGGCCCACCAAGGCGACGAUGCAUAGCCGACCUGAGAGGGUGAUCGGCCACACUGGGACUGAGACACGGCCCAGACUCCUACGGGAGGCAGCAGUAGGGAAUCUUCCACAAUGGACGAAAGUCUGAUGGAGCAACGCCGCGUGAACGAUGAAGGCCUUCGGGUCGUAAAGUUCUGUUGUAAGGGAAGAACAAGUGCCGCAGGCAAUGGCGGCACCUUGACGGUACCUUGCGAGAAAGCCACGGCUAACUACGUGCCAGCAGCCGCGGUAAUACGUAGGUGGCAAGCGUUGUCCGGAAUUAUUGGGCGUAAAGCGCGCGCAGGCGGCCUCUUAAGUCUGAUGUGAAAGCCCCCGGCUCAACCGGGGAGGGCCAUUGGAAACUGGGAGGCUUGAGUAUAGGAGAGAAGAGUGGAAUUCCACGUGUAGCGGUGAAAUGCGUAGAGAUGUGGAGG